GACGAACGCUGGCGGCGUGCUUAACACAUGCAAGUCGAGCGGUAAGGCCCUUUCGGGGGUACACGAGCGGCGAACGGGUGAGUAACACGUGGGUGACCUGCCCUCAGCUCUGGGAUAAGCCUGGGAAACCGGGUCUAAUACCGGAUAUGACUCCAUGACGCAUGUUGUGGGGUGGAAAGCCUUGUGCGGCUGAGGAUGGGCCCGCGGCCUAUCAGCUUGUUGGUGGGGUGAUGGCCUACCAAGGCGACGACGGGUAGCCGGCCUGAGAGGGCGACCGGCCACACUGGGACUGAGAUACGGCCCAGACUCCUACGGGAGGCAGCAGUGGGGAAUAUUGCGCAAUGGGCGGAAGCCUGACGCAGCGACGCCGCGUGGGGAUGACGGCCUCGGUGUAACUC
RNAcentral lists this ribosomal RNA (398 nucleotides) under uncultured bacterium. RNAcentral describes it as "bacterial SSU rRNA". It matches the Rfam family "Bacterial small subunit ribosomal RNA", at positions 28 to 431 of the family's 1533-position model. The record is from RNAcentral.